Molecule: non-coding RNA, 29 nt
Filed under: Rattus norvegicus (Norway rat)
Lineage: Eukaryota; Metazoa; Chordata; Mammalia; Rodentia; Muridae
Source: RNAcentral
UAUCGAGUCUGCUAAUAUUUGCCUAAAUA